GAGUACUGUAGAGGGGGGUAGAAUUUCAGGUGUAGCGGUGAAAUGCGUAGAGAUCUGAAGGAAUACCGGUGGCGAAGGCGGCCCCCUGGACAGAUACUGACACUCAGAUGCGAAAGCGUGGGGAGCAAACAGGAUUAGAUACCCUGGUAGUCCACGCCGUAAACGAUGUCUACUUGGAGGUUGAGCCCCUGAGCCGUGGCUUUCGGAGCUAACGCGUUAAGUAGACCGCCUGGGGAGUACGGUCGCAAGAUUAAAACUCAAAUGAAUUGACGGGGGCCCGCAC
RNAcentral lists this ribosomal RNA (283 nucleotides) under Vibrio anguillarum. RNAcentral's name for it is "partial 16S ribosomal RNA". It matches the Rfam family "Bacterial small subunit ribosomal RNA", at positions 644 to 926 of the family's 1533-position model. The record is from RNAcentral. Lineage: Bacteria; Pseudomonadati; Pseudomonadota; Gammaproteobacteria; Vibrionales; Vibrionaceae.